RNAcentral lists this transfer RNA (74 nucleotides) under Burkholderiaceae bacterium. RNAcentral describes it as "tRNA-Gly". It matches the Rfam family "tRNA". From Rfam's summary of the family: Transfer RNA (tRNA) molecules are approximately 80 nucleotides in length. Their secondary structure includes four short double-helical elements and three loops (D, anti-codon, and T loops). Further hydrogen bonds mediate the characteristic L-shaped molecular structure. tRNAs have two regions of fundamental functional importance: the anti-codon, which is responsible for specific mRNA codon recognition, and the 3' end, to which the tRNAs corresponding amino acid is attached (by aminoacyl-tRNA synthetases). tRNAs cope with the degeneracy of the genetic code in two manners: having more than one tRNA (with a specific anti-codon) for a particular amino acid; and 'wobble' base-pairing, i.e. permitting non-standard base-pairing at the 3rd anti-codon position. RNAcentral also lists the same sequence under 1 other name. Lineage: Bacteria; Pseudomonadati; Pseudomonadota; Betaproteobacteria; Burkholderiales; Burkholderiaceae. The record is from RNAcentral.
GCGGGUGUAGUUCAAUGGUAGAACGGCAGCUUCCCAAGCUUUAGACGCGAGUUCGAUUCUCGUCACCCGCUCCA